UUUAGAUAGCUUUUGCCCUCACACAUUCUAGUCUGCUUAUUCCUUAUUAUCUUACGAUAAUACAUUUUGAUACAUUUAGAAAUAAUUUGUUAUCUUCUCUUAGAGCAAGGGGUUUUCCUCUUCCUUGCACUGUCCUUUCACUGGCAAUAUGGUCCUUCAGCUUCCCAGCUUUCUAGUGGAUUCUCCACCAUGCACCUCCUCCUCUCCACGCAGUUACACCAGUGCCCUGUUUAGUGCCAUUUCUCCACUGGAUUAAGGAUGCAAAAAAUCAAACUCAAGAACAGAAAGAAAGAAAGGAAGAAAACAAGUGGGAAGGCAGUCAGCAGAACUACAGUCCACAGAGGGAAUGAGGACUAAAGGAAAACAUUACAGUUUCUCCAGAUGGAGAGAGGAGCAGGAGGGGGUGCGUUCAAGUCCUAAAUCUGUGUUCUUUGGCCUCCAUAUUUGUGAAGAAGACAAUGUAAUACAUUUUGGUAGAGGAAGCUGACUGAAAUAGAACCUCUAGUUUUAAUAUUUUUGGGGAAUUUCAACAUUGAUUUCUUCAGUGGCUGCACCAGUCUACACUCCUACCAAAGAGAAGGAUUCCUUUUUCUCCACAGCCCUGCCAGCGUUUGUUAUUGGUUGAUUUCCUGAUG
Cavia porcellus (domestic guinea pig) is the source of this 635-nucleotide long non-coding RNA. RefSeq lists it as uncharacterized. The transcript has 3 exons. NCBI's taxonomy places the organism in Eukaryota, Metazoa, Chordata, Mammalia, Rodentia, Caviidae. The record is from RefSeq and is a predicted model, not a curated record.